RNAcentral lists this ribosomal RNA (429 nucleotides) under bacterium. RNAcentral describes it as "partial 16S ribosomal RNA". It matches the Rfam family "Bacterial small subunit ribosomal RNA", at positions 355 to 776 of the family's 1533-position model. The record is from RNAcentral.
UAGGGAAUCUUCGGCAAUGGGGGCAACCCUGACCGAGCAACGCCGCGUGAGUGAAGAAGGUUUUCGGAUCGUAAAGCUCUGUUGUAAGAGAAGAACGUGUGUGAGAGUGGAAAGUUCACACAGUGACGGUAACUUACCAGAAAGGGACGGCUAACUACGUGCCAGCAGCCGCGGUAAUACGUAGGUCCCGAGCGUUGUCCGGAUUUAUUGGGCGUAAAGCGAGCGCAGGCGGUUUAAUAAGUCUGAAGUUAAAGGCAGUGGCUUAACCAUUGUUCGCUUUGGAAACUGUUACACUUGAGUGCAGAAGUGGAGAGUGGAAUUCCAUGUGUAGCGGUGAAAUGCGUAGAUAUAUGGAGGAACACCGGUGGCGAAAGCGGCUCUCUGGUCUGUAACUGACGCUGAGGCUCGAAAGCGUGGGGAGCAAACAGG